AUGCGUUUUUUCUUUAAACCUGAUAUUGGCCGAUUCAACCACAGAAAAAGAAUAUUAGCCAUAACCAUAAAAGUUGAAGUUCAAAUGUCAAUGUCAUUUAGUUUCGCACAGUGAUAAAUUCCAGUGACAUGCAAUUUUUGUAAUGGCAAAAUAUUUGUAAGAAACUGCAAACAAAUGCAAAUGUGCAGUCGAUGUGUGGAAUGCGACAACAUUAUACUCGAUAAUUUCAAUUAUUGCGAGUGUUGUGGCUUAGAAACAAUUAGGCAGUUAAGAAUAAACAAGGCUCGGGCACUAUCAAACCUUUUUCCUAAAAAGCAAAAAGCUGCUUCUGCUGCAUCACAAGAUUUAUUUGAUGACUUUCAGGUUGAUAACGAAGAGUUGACGCUAAUCGAGGAUUCAUUGAUUUGAUGAUUGAUGAUGCUUCUUCGGACAACAAGAAAAAACAGCUACUGUCAGUCAGCAGUGAUGAUGCUUCUUCGAACAACAAGGAAAAACAGCUGCUGUCAGUCAGCAGUGAUUUUAUUUCUUUAGAAGAAGAAGAGAAAGAAAACAUAUCAAAUGGCGGGCAGACCCCCGAAAAAACGUAAAUAUUCAAGCAGGUUUAGUACAGAAUAUCAGCCCCCCAGGACUAACUAUUUAUAUUUAGCACUUUCAAAUAACACCAUUCAAGUAUCAGUACAUUCAGUUGGUUCUAUGAUUUAUGAAUGUGUUCAAUGUCAAGCACUUCAUUUUUUAGGUGAAAAAAUUAAAAAUCAUUUUAAAAAUUGUUGUCAUAAUGGGAAGGUAUACAUAGAUCCAGAAAUAUUAUUAGUUUUAUACAAAGGCAAUACGUCUGAAGCUAAUCAUUUUAAGGCUAAUAUACGACUAUAUAAUUCAGCAUUUGCAAUGGCAUCCAUUAAUUCAAACUUGAACACAUUCCCUCCAGGAUUUUUCACUUAUAGGGUACAAGGGCAAAUUUAUAUAAAAACUGGAUCUUUGGUUCCGUUGCAAGGUCAUAAACCACAAUACAACCAAUUGUAUAUAAUUGAAGAUGAAGCAGCCUUAAAUGAAAGAUUAUCCGAUUCUAGAAAUAACAU
Molecule: long non-coding RNA, 1076 nt
Organism: Ostrinia nubilalis (European corn borer)
Lineage: Eukaryota; Metazoa; Arthropoda; Insecta; Lepidoptera; Crambidae
Exons: 3
Source: RefSeq, a predicted model, not a curated record